This 116-nucleotide ribosomal RNA is filed under the name Holosporales bacterium. The record is from RNAcentral. Lineage: Bacteria; Pseudomonadati; Pseudomonadota; Alphaproteobacteria; Holosporales.
CUUGGUGGCCAUAGCGGGGGAUAAAACGCUCCAUUCCAUCCCGAACUGGACAGCGAAAGCCCCCAGCGGCGAUGAUACUUCGUCUUAAGGCGCGGGAAAGUAGCACGCUGCCAAGC